Molecule: long non-coding RNA, 5468 nt
Organism: Anguilla rostrata (American eel)
Lineage: Eukaryota; Metazoa; Chordata; Actinopteri; Anguilliformes; Anguillidae
Exons: 2
Source: RefSeq, a predicted model, not a curated record
AGAUUAACUUCAUUGCUACUUUAAAUAGACAUUACUUUCAAGGUUGCAUUGUCAACCAGCCAGUACAUUUGAAUGAACAAAAAAGUUUAAAGCGCGAAAACAAUAAAGCUCACAAAAUACAUUUGUCCGUGCUAAACGACGAGUAUAUUAUAGGAUUGUGAUUUCAUUGCUGUAUAACGUUAGCCUUUGUAUAAGUGUUAACGUUAGCUGCAGCCUCAGUGCAUUUCUCAUUCAGCAGCUGGUCAAUGACAUUCAGUUUCCAAGAACAGAAAGCUAACGUUAGCAGCCAUCUAACCUAGUUAGCUACCUACACAAUUUAGUUAGCGCUAAAUAUAUUUUAACACUGAUCAUUUUCACAGUAUUAGAAAUUAUCUUGAUGACUUAACGUCAGAAGGAUUCUGAUUGUACUUAAUGAGGAAAUCGGUUAUCUGAAGAAAAUGAAUGCAUAAAUAUUUUGCAGAGUACUUAAUCGUUUUUACGCUUAUUCGGUGCAUAAGUACUCAUGCAUUAAAGGCGUUCGAUGAAGGAAUAUUUCAUUUGGUCGAUAAUGUCCUUUCAGUUGCCACAAAUAUCUGCUCCUUGAAAACUACGGCUGCAGCGUGCAUGUUCUAUUUUCUGACGCUGUCCCUAAGACGUUAAACAAAGAACUGUGCUUCACGGGUGAGAGAAUGUGAAAUAUUCAGAGAAAACCAGAAAAGGAAAAUGUCGAAUACUACUCUGGUGGAGACACCUGUUGUGGUAUAAAAAGAUCCAGGGCUUAGUAAUCACUCUGCUGUAGUAGCAAUAAACGUUGAUUUGUCAUGUACCCAGGGAAUGAAGAGUCUGCCUUGGAUUAAUUCGUCCGGGACUAUAGCAACAAAUCAGGUUGAAAUUAAAGCUGUUUUAUUUCACUGUUCAGGUUAAGGGAGGCGAGGCAUACAUGUUACAGUACUCCUGAAUGUGUGGAAAGGUUUUCUUCAGUACAGGUUUCAUUUCCCCGUGGUCGUUGAAGAGCAGCCCUUAUUUUGGAGGUCAGGAGUGGGGGGAUUUCGGACUGUCUCUCCGAAUGAAUGAAGCGAAGGAGGAAGUGAAACUACACCUCGCGGUACGGGAGAGGGCACAGAAUAUAGAUAGCAGCGCAAUCUGCUGCGUCACUGCUGCCACACAAUGGCCCUCAGUGACAGAGGGGAGGCAUCCCAGGUGGCCGCAGCCAACCUUCCUGCGCUCCGGGAUUGGAAGAUGAUGCCUUUCUGCUGCUACCGUAGCCGCAAAUAACAUUACACAGCGACACAGGCCGGCUUUAGUCUGCGCAGCGCAUGUAAUUUCUCUGUAAUGUUGCGCGGUAGCCCCCUGUUUGGUCACUGCGUUGCAAAAUGUUUGCAAAACCAUAAUGAAUGAAUGAAUUGUUUAUGCUACUCAGUAGCUUCUGACCGUUCACUUCUUUUUUUUUUUAUUAAGUAGUGUAGGAUGUACACAUUGUAAUUGCAUUGCUCUGACUUGUAUUUGAAGUUAAGAGAAGUGAUUGUAAGAAAAUAAAUUAGUGGAUAUAUACGAUAUUGUCAUGAUGUAUCUAAAGCCAUUUCUCAUGUCUGCAAAGAAGUUAAGUUCAUUUAAAAAGGUUCAGUGACGGCGUUUAGCGUUUCGCGCUCUUUAUGGAUGCCCUCCCUUCGUGCGGCACAUUGCAGUGAUUUAUCAUAGCCGUGGGUGUGCGGCUCCUCUCCAGGAGUGGCUAAUUUGCAGUCGCUUGAUGGAUGGCUGGCAUUCGUGGUGAUUGGUCAAAGCCAAAAUAAUGUUCUUCUGCUGAGUGCCUCAGAAGAACGAGCCUCAUCUGCAGAGGGGGAAGUUUGAUGUGAUGUGCAGGCAUGGGGACAGAGCGGGGAUGGAGCUCCGAACUGGGCGCGUGCCUGCGCCCUGCGAUUUGUUCCCCUGCGGUCGCAUCAUGCCGUUUUGGCCGCAGACGCGAUGGCCAAAUUAGCAUCUUCAACCCCCCCCUCCCCUUAUGGAUGGUCGCUGCCUGUCCCCAUUCAUUCUGGUGCUUAUUAAGCGCGCAACCCCAUGUCUUGUUAGCUUCCUCUCGGUAAUCUGUUGGUUUAGAUGGCUCUCAGGCUUCAGUUGUUAGGCAUACUGGAAACGCUGGAGUUUGCGGUUAAAUUCCACUUGUAUUCUUCCACCAAGAAAAGGUAAAUGUCAAAGCAGGUGGUUGGCAUCUUCCUAGCUCUUUCAUGUUUCUAUAUUCUGACAUUAGUUUAGCUGAGAAUGUGGAGCUUCACAUUCUCUCAUUUCUCAUUCUGGGAUAUUGAACAAAUCAAAUAUCUGAGUGGAUACAAGUUGAGUUGACACAUGGCUUUUAUAUUUUUGGUGAGGAAGGUGUUAAAUAAUUCCUCUUUGUGCUCUGUAAUAUUUGCAUAGGCAGUUAAAGAAGCAAUUUCAUGUGUUGCCAAUUUAUCCCUUGCAGGCUCAUGAAUAUUUUAAUCUGAAUCCAGUCUUUCACCCUGGUAACAGAGAAGGACAGGUGUAUGUAAUUCGACCCCCAUGUCCUUUUCAGGUGGAUUCUGAAUUCUGUACCUUUGUGGCGUUAAGCAGCAAUUAAACCUUAUGUUUGACAGCAUUAUGUAGCCCAUUUAUUUUAGUGCCCUUAUGCCAUACCUGCCUGCCAUAAAACUGCUCUUUAAUUUCUGAAACAGAGAGCACUAUAAUCUAAAAUGUGACCGGUGUGUCAUCGAUUCAUUCUGCUUCUUCCUUCAAAGUGGAUAUCCUCCUCUCCAUUUGCAGCAUUACCUUACAUUUGUUUCUUUUUAAAUGUUUCAGGAAACCUAUUUCAGAUUGUGAAUUUCUACUUGAAUGUAAUUUGUAGAUCAAAUAAUUGGUCUGGUCUGGUACACAGUUGAUAAGAAAGAAGAAAAAAAACAUGAAUAAACAAUUUAUUAUUAUUAUGACACCACUUUGUUUGCUUACAAGUAUUGUUCACAGUUAAUUUGUAAUGAAGCCCUUUUCAAAGUUUUUGAUGGAGAGUGGACAGGCCCUUGGUAAGUUUCGCUUUAUUCAGACCGGGCGAAUACAGAGAGGGUAACGGAUAGAGAAGGGGUGACCACUCAGCAGGCACCAUGGUGGGGUGAACCCACGCCCGAGCGACUUCGGUGUCGAACCCCUGCCCGCCUGACUCCGGAGUUGACCCCCCGGCCACCCGCCCCCGGAGUCAAACCCCCACACGGACGACUCCGGACUGGACCCCCCCACCCGCCUGCACACCCACCCACACGCCCCCCCCCCCCCCACACACACAGCUCGAGGGUCAGCAGUCUGCUGACCUGCUUCACCCACUUCAGCUGUAAUUAAGGUUUACACAUUAGUAUGAGUUCAGUGGUACCUGGAGCCUGUUACUUAUUUAAUGAGCUAGUGGGCAUUUGUACAGUCUCUCCAUAUUCUGUGGAAAGGUUUUUUUCUUCUGUCCUUCGUUACUCCUUUCAGUGCCAUCUUUCUUUAAUAAAUAGAGACGUCACCAUUUUGCUCUGUUGACUUAGUGCCAGUCUUUAAUUAUCUUUUCAUUUUUCUCUGUUCAUCUCUGUAAAGCAAAUAUUUAACCAGCAGAGACACCGGUGGCCAGUAAGUGGGUUCUGUGAUACGGCUGUCUGCAGGUCAGCGAGUCAGAUGUGACUGAUGGUAGAUUGUAGUGCAAGAUUAUAGAUUAAUGCUUCUGGCUACGUUCCAUCUGGCCCUUCUAAAUUUGUUGCCGAAAUGAAUUCGAAAAGAGUCGGCUAAUGACAUGACAGAAGGAGUGGGAGGUUCGGCCUAAAUUGAGAUAUCGCUAACAUCCAAAACGACGGUUUGGCGAUCAGCUUAAUUAUAAGUUCAGUUUAUUGGCAUGUUUAUCUCACUACUAAACUAACAGGGAAGCCAUUGUUUCUCAUCUGUUGUACCUAUUUAAUAUUUGGAAAGGAUACUAUCUAUCUGCCGUACAACCCAAAAAUAAACAUAAUGUGAAACUACAAUUAUAGAGCCCUUCAAAGGAAGAUUUGUAUACAUGAUUAUACCAGUGUUUAUAAAGCAGUUUGUUUGUGGUUGGCUUAUGGUCUGUUAUGUGACAACAAUAGGCAAACUAGCCUAAAUGUACAUGAUUAGCUCAAGGGUACUUGGAAAAAAAGUAUGCUAUUUUUAGUCAGCUAGUUACAUGCAUGUUCCUCCAGUGACUGCAUCUUGUUAAAAUGUCAACAAAGGGCGUUUAUUUUUGUGCUGCGUCUUCCUGCUUUGCAGAAAACAGUGAACUAACGCCACAAAAGUCUGGAUCAGUUUUUUUCAGACUGGUGCUGGGGGCGCACCAUUUAUGCUAAUUGUCAUUGCAGCGGAGUUCUUCAUUGAUUUGGCCUGAUUGAGUGGUUAAUUGAAUACCAAUCUGUAUUAUACAACUUGUGCUGUGAGUUUUCUGUUACAGAAGGACUGUUGUUUGCUCUAACUGACAAAUACAAAUAAAGGGGCUUCUGUAAAAUGUUUCUCUUAAUUUGAACCCUUAAUACAGACCACCAUUCAUGUUUGAUUAAAAGCAAUUGAUUUGGUGUUUUGUGAGACUGAGAAAGCAAUUAAGCAACUGAUUAUAUGUAAAAGAGAUAGUUGCGCAUAUGAAAAAAAAUUGUUUGCGAAUCAUUAGUUUACAAAACAACCCAAGUGAUUUCCUAGCUAGCUAUGAGCAUAGCCUGCUCGUGAAACAAAAACCAUAUAUAUUUUCAUAUAUUAUAUAUACAAAGCUUGCAUUUUUAAAACAUUAUUUUAUGUAAUGGGGCUGGUCCAAUUAAUUGAUUUUUUUUUCCCUUUUUGUGAAACUUGACUUCUGUUUUGUUCUCCUGUGUUUACCAUCUGGCUGUGAUUUCAAAACAUGGUUUGUUUUCUCUCACUUGGUGAUUUUUGGACAACAGGGGCUACCAUCAUUGACCUGCCACAACGUCACUUGAUGCAUUUUUGUUCGGACACACUGUGUGAAAAUCUUGGUUGUUAUGGGUCUUAACUGUCACAGACAAGGCUUCUGGCCUGGAAGCAGCGUGACAUUAAGUUAGGCUGCUGGAAUUCCCGGCUGACACAAAAUGUUCUCAUAAUGUUGCCAAAAUGUUUAAUCAAUGUUAUAACAUUGUGAGAACGUUUUGUGUUAGCUGGAAAGGCUUUGCUCCGGUUUUACCCCAGAAUGCAGUCCUUUGUGUUUACAUUGUCACCACCACUAUUUACGUUAGCUGUUGUAAGUCCACGCAUAAACAAACACCUCACAUGGCUUUGUGCCAAUGCAUCUUUUGUUUGUGCGUUCUGUGGGGUAAAAAUAAGUCAUUUGCUUUCUUGAAAACACACCAGAAUGAGAGUAAACGUUUAGCUUGGUGUAUCUUUAGAGAAGGAAACAUCUCUGCUACCCAGCAAUGUGUUUGGCAGUAGAUCUGUUGUUGGGAAAACAAAGGAAACGAGAUACUAUAACAUUUCAAUUCACAUAUAUAAAUAAAUUGUCUGAAAAGAGA